CAGGAGAGUAAGUUGGAAUUGGGAUGGUUGUUAGGACCUUGCUCCUUUUCAGUGUGAAAAUCAUGCAAUGAGGAAUAACACUUUAAAGAAUCUGGUGUUCUCUCUUUUAAGGGAAACAAAUGAAGACAGGAAUCACAUGAAAAGACCGUAUCUCUCAAUGCAUUCUUCUGUUCAGAAAAAUUAUCAUCUGCCUUUUUGUUUUUCUCCUUUAAAGAGCACUGUGGAGAAAGUGGCGGCUGGCUCUGUCCCAGUUCCUCAGGUCAUGCCACUUGGAAUCCCUCUUCCAGGGAAGGCUAAACAUGAAGUAGACACAAAUACUCUUCUAGAAAUGAAAUCAGGUCUGAAUAAGAGCUUUGAAUCCAGAUGGCACCAUGUCUUGAAUGCAGACACCUCCUGCCAGUGAAUACACCCUCUUGCAUUGGAUGUGAGUCACCAAUAGCUCCACAGCUGCAGCCCCAAACCAACAUCUGCGUAAAGGUAAUUGAGAAUAAAUCUAACAAAACAGCAAUUUACCUCCUGGCAUGCAUUUUUCUAACAGAUGACUUCAUGAAAAAUAGUUUGAUCCAGCUUGGGUUUCUCCAAUUACAUGAUGACAGCUUUAAGGGUUAGUAGGAUUCAAACCACCUUGAAUAGAAAUAAGCAUUAAAGGUAAACCAGAUAAGCUCAGGAAGGCAUCUUGAAGAGCACAGGAGGUAGCAGUGUGAAAGACAGGAACACGUGCACUUGUGUUCAGUAGGGAGAUAUUCUGUGAUUCUAUCAUUUAUGGCCUUAGUAUUACUGAGCAUUUUAAGUUUAUUAAAUACGUGCUCAUUACUCUGCUUCCCUCAUUUGAUUGUAAGUGCUUAGCACAGAUGGGCUGGCAGGACUGGGGCAGUGGGGAGAUGCCCAAAAUGCUCAAGCGCAGUAUUAGUCAGUGAUCCAAAAGUGCUGGUGGGCUUAACUAGACAAAAUGUACCCUAUAGAAUACUCCCUACCCAAGGGUAUGGGGACCCAGGUAGGGGCCAUCCUCAACCCCUCCAGUCAGGGGAAAGGGUGUGAGAAAGAGCCAACUGAUACUGCAUGUCCACAAUUGGUAGAUUAUAGACACUGCCCCACAUUGGAUGUUUUAUGGCAGUCCUGAUGCAGGUGCAAAGGCAGUCUUGAACUAUUUGGUGGCCACCAUCAAAACAGCAGACUCAUUAUUCUCAGCUCUGGUGGAAUCUCACUUGUUAAUAGUGACUGUGCUGGGGCACCCUCAGGGGGAUAAGAAUCAUUUUCCUUGCAGAUACUGGACUUUCUGUUUUGUGUGAGUGCAGUGACUAAGCAAACUGACACUAGUCUAUACAAACAUGUGGAGGUAUUGAUGCUGGAUCUCCUGAGGGAACUGUACCAUACUUUAAAAUGAAUUGUCACCAAGAUCCAUGGAUUUGUGAUGAGCAGGCACUAUGGCCUAACUAAAACCUGAAGCCCACAGCACAGACUUGAAGGAUCUCUUCUAUCUGCAGGGCUGAAUAACCACAGCACUUUGUAAGAUCAAGUCCUCUUCUUAUUAGUGCUGUUCAUAGUUUUCAGAUACUAAGUGAAAUGUAUUCUUUCUCUGUUUAAAAGGGCAAAGUAAUUUGUCAGGCGUGUGGCACAGGAAAUCUUCACCAUAAACACUGUGUGACUUGUGAAAGCAAGCUGCCUGAAAUAGAGACGCUAAGGCUUCUUCCAUCAAUCACACUAGGGUUAAUCAAAUCAAAGCACAACAUUCUUUUUCUCUGGAAAACUGAAGUCAUAGCCCUGUGUCCCUAUGUUACAAAAGCAGAGAUUCCCUCCCUCAUGGGAUAUUCAAGCCCAGUACUCCCACAGAUCCUCCAUCACAAAUGUCCAGCUAAACAGAAGUGUACCUUUGAGUUCCUCCUGUGGAAGUCAGGAUUGUGUGUGCCAUUGUGAAAGCUCAGAAGGCUCUUAGAAAAUGGGGAGUCUUGGCUCCAAGGGAGUUUUGUUUGUGUUCAGAUGAUUUUCAAUU
Molecule: long non-coding RNA, 1990 nt
Filed under: Strigops habroptila (Kakapo)
Lineage: Eukaryota; Metazoa; Chordata; Aves; Psittaciformes; Psittacidae
Description: lncRNA (ENSSHBG00005013636.1)
Source: RNAcentral